ACCUUCCCUCAGCCCUCUCACUUCUUCAAGAUCCUACGUACAAGUGCACAAAUGAGCACUUGAACUAGAAUCUAGAAUCUAACUUGAAGAAGAGAAAAUUGUUAGAUUAGUUUCAAUAAGGAGCAUAUCAGAUGUACCUUUGAAAGGCCCAUCCUUCUUCCUGCUCUUGACAGUCGCUAGGUAGGCCGGACAGUUCCUUCUCCAGUAGCCUUCGACAUUGCAAUGAAAAUAU
Molecule: long non-coding RNA, 232 nt
Filed under: Elaeis guineensis (African oil palm)
Lineage: Eukaryota; Viridiplantae; Streptophyta; Magnoliopsida; Arecales; Arecaceae
Description: long non-coding RNA (EGUI_LNC053707)
Source: RNAcentral